CCUACGGGAGGCAGCAGUGGGGAAUAUUGCACAAUGGGGGGAACCCUGAUGCAGCGAUGCCGCGUGGAGGAAGAAGGUUUUCGGAUUGUAAACUCCUUUUAUCAGGGACGAUAAUGACGGUACCUGAAGAAAAAGCUCCGGCUAACUACGUGCCAGCAGCCGCGGUAAUACGUAGGGAGCGAGCGUUGUCCGGAAUUACUGGGUGUAAAGGGAGCGUAGGCGGGACGGCAAGUCAGAUGUGAAAACUGAGGGCUCAACCUUCAGACUGCAUUUGAAACUGCUGUUCUUGAGUGAAGUAGAGGUAAGCGGAAUUCCUAGUGUAGCGGUGAAAUGCGUAGAUAUAUGGAAGAACACCAGUGGCGAAGGCGGCUCUCUGGUCUGUAACUGACGCUGAGGUUCGAAAGCGUGGGUAGCAAACAGGAUUAGAUACCCGAGUAGUC
Molecule: ribosomal RNA, 440 nt
Filed under: uncultured bacterium
Lineage: Bacteria
Description: partial 16S ribosomal RNA
Rfam family: Bacterial small subunit ribosomal RNA
Source: RNAcentral